Molecule: long non-coding RNA, 418 nt
Filed under: Vigna radiata
Lineage: Eukaryota; Viridiplantae; Streptophyta; Magnoliopsida; Fabales; Fabaceae
Description: long non-coding RNA (VRAD_LNC013628)
Source: RNAcentral
UCGUUUCCCAAAGGACUCUUAGGCCUUAACUUUCGUGUAAACCAAUCACAUAAGACUUGAGGAAAGAAUUAAAUUUAGGUUUUGAAUGCAAAGAACAAAAGUAAACAUGCAAAAUGCAGUGAAUCAAUUGGCUAGAAAAGACUAAGGAUGAAUGGAGUUGUUGGGGUUUACAAUUUCAUCUAUCCACCCUCUUAUAUCUACUCUUCUUAUCUUCUUAGCUUAUUUAUCAUAUUGUCAUGCAAACUUUCUUAGUCAACCCUAAACCCAAUCUGUUAGCGAAAAGAGCCUAUUACUAAUUACUGGCUUGCUAUCUCUAGCCUCCCCUAGUAACCAAUGAUGCUUGAAAAACGGAAACAAAAUACAAUUGAUCGUCCUACCCCUAUCUCUAGGUGGUAUUAGCAUAAUCAAGGAAUUCCCC